GUGUGUGGAUGAGGAGAAAGCUUUAUACAGUUAUCCCUGUCUGAUUUAUGGGUGCUGAUAUUUGGUUAAAAUCUGACACUUUU
Molecule: small nucleolar RNA, 83 nt
Organism: Mangifera indica (mango)
Lineage: Eukaryota; Viridiplantae; Streptophyta; Magnoliopsida; Sapindales; Anacardiaceae
Product: small nucleolar RNA R38
Exons: 1
Source: RefSeq, a predicted model, not a curated record